Molecule: ribosomal RNA, 294 nt
Filed under: uncultured bacterium
Lineage: Bacteria
Description: partial 16S ribosomal RNA
Rfam family: Bacterial small subunit ribosomal RNA
Source: RNAcentral
GGAUUAGAUACCCUGGUAGUCCACGCCGUAAACGAUGUCAACUAGUUGUUGGGUAUAUAGAGAUACUUAGUGACGCAGCUAACGCGAUAAGUUGACCGCCUGGGGAGUACGGUCGCAAGAUUAAAACUCAAAGGAAUUGACGGGGGCCCGCACAAGCGGUGGAGCAUGUGGUUUAAUUCGAUGCAACGCGAAGAACCUUACCUACCCUUGACAUACAGUAAAUCUUUUGGAGACAGAAGAGUGCCUUCGGGAAUACUGAUACAGGUGCUGCAUGGCUGUCGUCAGCUCGUGCUG